GACGAACGCUGGCGGCGUGCUUAACACAUGCAAGUCGAACGGAAAGGCCCUGCUUUUGUGGGCUGCUCUAGUGGCGAACGGGUGAGUAACACGUGAGUAACCUGCCCUUGACUUUGGGAUAACUUCAGGAAACUGGGGCUCAUACCGGAUAGGAGUUCCUGCUGCUUGGUGGGGGUUGGAAAGUUUCGGCGGUUGGGGAUGUACUCGCGGCUUAUCAGCUUGUUGGGGGGGUAGUGGCUUACCAAGGCUCUGACGGGUAGCCGGCCUGAGCGGGUGACCGGCCACAUUAGGACGGAGAUACGGCCCAGCCUCCUACGGGAGGCAGGAGUGGGGAAUAGUGCACAAUGGGCGGAAGGCUGAUGCAGCAACGCCGCGUGCGGGAUGACGGCCUUCGGGUUGUAAACCGCUGUCGCCUGUGACGAAGCGUGAGUGACGGUAAUGGGUAAAGAAGCUCCGGCUAACUACGUG
Molecule: ribosomal RNA, 468 nt
Filed under: uncultured bacterium
Lineage: Bacteria
Description: partial 16S ribosomal RNA
Rfam family: Bacterial small subunit ribosomal RNA
Source: RNAcentral